Molecule: small nucleolar RNA, 74 nt
Organism: Bufo bufo (common toad)
Lineage: Eukaryota; Metazoa; Chordata; Amphibia; Anura; Bufonidae
Product: small nucleolar RNA SNORD61
Exons: 1
Source: RefSeq, a predicted model, not a curated record
GCUGUGAUGAAUUUUUGGCAUUGAUCAAAGUAUGAGCUGAUAAAGCCUCUUGUCCUCUAAGAAGUUCUGAGCGU